AAAAGGGUUUAUUGUUAAAAUAGGCACAUUUUUAAAAAAAACUUUGAUUUUAAGCACAUUGCGUGUGGGCAUCGAAAAAGGGAAUUUUGAGAGAUGAAAUUUGACGAUAAUACCCUUCGGAGCGUUAGGUCGGAGUUGAGAAGAAAUUUUUCAGAUCCAUCUCUGUCAUUAAGUUUCCGUCAUCUCUGAUAUCUACUCCACCGAAUUUUUUUGCUCCGACAAUGUUCAAAAACUAAACCCUAAGUUGUACAUAGGGAACCCAAGGAGAAUAUCAAACGAAUUGUAAGAAUUCAUCCUCUUUCUCUUUUGUUUCCAUCACGUUCAUACUUUCAUCAUCUCUAAUAUUCACAAAAACUAAACCUUAAGGGAACUAGUACAUAGGGAACCCAAUAGGAAAACCAAACGAAUUGUCAAUAUUCAUCUUCUUCCUCCUUUCUUUCCAUCAAAUUGGAGAAGCCACAUCAAUCGAAUAAGAAAAAACCAAAUUUGUAUAUUCAAUCGGAGAAUUUGAUCUAAUAUGAACCACUUAACAAAAACCCAAAACGAAUGCUUGAAAUCACCUUUGAUAACUUUGCAAUUGUUUAACAAUUGGAAAUUGAGAAGUUUAAAAUCUCUUUUUUUCUUCUGAGAUUUUCAAAUUUGGAGAUCUCAAAAACACAUCUCGAUAUCUAAGCCACCACCCUCGAAUCUCAUCAUCGCCGCUGCCAUUGGCACUCAAGAUCUUGCCAUCCUCUUCUUGAUGCUUGUUUCACCGGAGCU
Molecule: small RNA, 759 nt
Filed under: Arabidopsis thaliana (thale cress)
Lineage: Eukaryota; Viridiplantae; Streptophyta; Magnoliopsida; Brassicales; Brassicaceae
Description: ATSL119960
Source: RNAcentral